GGGCCGAGUAGGUCAUCGAGGUUGACUCAACCAUGAUUGUUGGCUAAAUUCAGAGGUAGUCGAGACUCAGCUAUGCACCUACUCUUUUGCAAUAUUUGGAUGCUGUUAUAUGGAUAUGCUUCUAUCAACAUUAAACAUAUUUAUCAGGAGGUGAAUAGUAUUGCUGACUGGAUCACCUUAUUUGUUGCAAAUCAUAUCAAGGAUGUUUUGUGGAUUGAUAUGGGAUGGCUU
This 231-nucleotide long non-coding RNA is filed under the name Elaeis guineensis (African oil palm). Its description in RNAcentral is "long non-coding RNA (EGUI_LNC013448)". The record is from RNAcentral. Lineage: Eukaryota; Viridiplantae; Streptophyta; Magnoliopsida; Arecales; Arecaceae.